AACCGCUUUCCAUCCACUGUUGCUGUUCCUGCAGCCCACAAGCGCCUGCGCCGGUGAACACGCAUCGCUUUUCCAUUCCUAACCACCCCUGUCCCCCCCCCCUUUGUGCGUACGUGCACUGUCUCGUUCUCUGCCUCGUGGGUGUGCGCAUUUUUCAUUUUCCUUCGUACGCCUUCAGCCUGCCCGAUGCCGGCCCCGAGCACUGCUGCCGUGCGGGUGCCCUUUUACUACAAGGCUAGCGAGGGCAACGCGGCGGCCGAGGCGCGCGCAGAUCGCGUCAGCGCACCUGAAGACGCCGUGUUUAUCACAAACGUCUUUAUCGAAGUGAUCGCCUUCGGGACCCGGUUUUUCUGGGUCCACAUCUCGGAGAGCCCCACUAAUCAGAGCGUGCCGCAACUUGGGGCCUGCAGCGUCGCUGUUGGACUUCAGCUCAGCGGGGACGGCGGCCGCGUCAGCAUCUCCUCAUCGCAGUUGAUGGAGUUCGAGGCGGCGCGCCAGCAGGACAUGCCCGCUGGAACGAACGGCAGCGUGCAAUCUACCUUCUCGACGAGCCUCGGCCAGCGACUAGUGCGCGGCAUCGCAAAGCAAGUAGGUGCCCAGACGACCGUGUACGUGAACUGUGCCAUCGACGGAGAGAGGUGUCUUCCGCUGCUGGGCACGGAUGGUGGAAGCGGCUUUGACAUGACGUUUCAGUUCGGUGCGCUCGUGUACGAGGAGUCGUACCGGCUGAUUGCCCAGCGGUGCGUGUGCGCGUGUGGGGUGUAAACGCGCUGCGUGAAGAGGCAGCGAAAACGAAGGGCCUCGCCAUGGGAGGAAACCUUUCUUGACACGCCCACACACACGCACACGUGAGUUUCUGCGCUGCACUCGCGCGCGAAGGACCCCACAGCCUCUUUAAGCCUUUUCGCUAUCCGGUGUUG
This 920-nucleotide unclassified non-coding RNA is filed under the name Leishmania donovani. RNAcentral's name for it is "gene:LdHU3.02.0090(CDS-product:hypothetical_prote in_conserved)". Lineage: Eukaryota; Euglenozoa; Kinetoplastea; Trypanosomatida; Trypanosomatidae. The record is from RNAcentral.